GUGGGGAAUAUUGGACAAUGGGCGAAAGCCUGAUCCAGCCAUGCCGCGUGUGUGAAGAAGGUCUUCGGAUUGUAAAGCACUUUAAGUUGGGAGGAAGGGCAGUAAGUUAAUACCUUGCUGUUUUGACGUUACCGACAGAAUAAGCACCGGCUAACUUCGUGCCAGCAGCCGCGGUAAUACGAAGGGUGCAAGCGUUAAUCGGAAUUACUGGGCGUAAAGCGCGCGUAGGUGGUUUUGAAAGUUGGAGGUGAAAUUCCCGGGCUCAACCUUGGAAAUGCCUCCAAAACUGCAUGACUAGAGUACGGUAGAGGGUAGUGGAAUUUCCUGUGUAGCGGUGAAAUGCGUAGAUAUAGGAAGGAACACCAGUGGCGAAGGCGACUACCUGGACUGAUACUGACACUGAGGUGCGAAAGCGUGGGGAGCAAACAGGAUUAGAAACCCGUGUAGUCC
Molecule: ribosomal RNA, 450 nt
Filed under: uncultured bacterium
Lineage: Bacteria
Description: bacterial SSU rRNA
Rfam family: Bacterial small subunit ribosomal RNA
Source: RNAcentral